This 253-nucleotide ribosomal RNA is filed under the name uncultured bacterium. Its description in RNAcentral is "partial 16S ribosomal RNA". It matches the Rfam family "Bacterial small subunit ribosomal RNA", at positions 524 to 776 of the family's 1533-position model. The record is from RNAcentral.
UACAGAGGGUGCGAGCGUUGUCCGGAAUCAUUGGGCGUAAAGGGCGCGUAGGUGGCCCGGUCAGUCGAUGGUGAAAGCGCGGGGCUCAACUCCGCGUCGGCCGUCGAUACUGCUGGGCUUGAGCACUGUAGAGGCAGGCGGAAUUCCGGGAGUAGCGGUGGAAUGCGUAGAGAUCCGGAAGAACACCGGUGGCGAAGGCGGCCUGCUGGGCAGUGGCUGACACUGAGGCGCGACAGCGUGGGGAGCAAACAGG